AGUGUCUGGACAGUUAUCUGCAAAUGUGAACAGUUAUCAGCUUCCAUUGACACAUCAUUUAGAAAAUAAUAACCAAGGCACAGUAUGCAAAGAAUAUAUCCAUAGAUAUAAGGCAAUAUUCACAUGUAUCAUCCACAGACUUAAGAUAAUAUUCAUAUUUAAACAUCAUAAAGACAACAAAACCCUUUAACAUUAUUCAUAAUGUAUCCAACUUAAAAUCAAAAGGCU
RNAcentral lists this long non-coding RNA (228 nucleotides) under Elaeis guineensis (African oil palm). RNAcentral's name for it is "long non-coding RNA (EGUI_LNC018862)". The record is from RNAcentral. Lineage: Eukaryota; Viridiplantae; Streptophyta; Magnoliopsida; Arecales; Arecaceae.